Vidua macroura (Pin-tailed whydah) is the source of this 347-nucleotide long non-coding RNA. RefSeq lists it as uncharacterized. NCBI's taxonomy places the organism in Eukaryota, Metazoa, Chordata, Aves, Passeriformes, Viduidae. The record is from RefSeq and is a predicted model, not a curated record. The transcript is spliced from 5 exons.
CAGGUGUGCCCCAGGUGAGCUCAGGUGUGCUCCAGGUGAUCUCAGGUGAGCUCAGGUGUGCCCCAGGUAUGAUCAGGUAUCCCCAGGUGAUCUCAGGUGUGCUCCAGGUGUGUCCAGGUGAGCUCAGGUGUGCCCCAAGUGUGUUCAGGUGUGCCCCAGGUGAGCUCAGGUGUGCCCCAGGUGAGCUCAGGUGAUCUCAGGUGUGCCCAGGUGUGCCCCAGGUAUGCUGAGGUAAGCUCAGCUGUGCUCAGGUGUGCCCAGGUGAGCUGUCCCUGUCCCAUUCUCCAAGAGGGAAAAUCCAGGCCCUGGAAAGGCCCCGCCCCAUCCAGGUGUGCACCUGUCCCAUC